RNAcentral lists this small nucleolar RNA (118 nucleotides) under Operophtera brumata (winter moth). RNAcentral's name for it is "Small nucleolar RNA SNORA17". The record is from Rfam by way of RNAcentral. Lineage: Eukaryota; Metazoa; Arthropoda; Insecta; Lepidoptera; Geometridae.
UGCACCAUUAAUGGUGCAGACGUAACUGGUUAGUUACGUUUGCACCAUUAAUGGUGCAGACGUAACUAGUUAGUUAUGUUUGCACCAUUAAUGGUGCAGACGUAACUAGUUAGUUAUG